UCUUCAUUUUACGCGCUCUCUCACCGGUCAGAGUUGCGAGAGAGUGUGUGAAAUGAAGAGA
Molecule: non-coding RNA, 61 nt
Organism: Pristionchus pacificus
Lineage: Eukaryota; Metazoa; Nematoda; Chromadorea; Rhabditida; Neodiplogasteridae
Source: Rfam